Molecule: transfer RNA, 78 nt
Filed under: Alphaproteobacteria bacterium
Lineage: Bacteria; Pseudomonadati; Pseudomonadota; Alphaproteobacteria
Description: tRNA-Ser
Source: RNAcentral
GGGUGAGACGGGGUGAAACACCCCCAAAGCUGAUUUUUAAUCAGGUUGUCACAGGUUCGAUCCCUGUCGGGCUCACCA